This 623-nucleotide ribosomal RNA is filed under the name uncultured Glomeromycotina. RNAcentral's name for it is "eukaryotic LSU rRNA". It matches the Rfam family "Eukaryotic large subunit ribosomal RNA", at positions 293 to 766 of the family's 3401-position model. Lineage: Eukaryota; Fungi; Glomeromycota. The record is from RNAcentral.
UGGGAGGUAAAUUUCUCCUAAGGCUAAAUACCGGCGAGAGACCGAUAGCGAACAAGUACCGUGAGGGAAAGAUGAAAAGAACUUUGAAAAGAGAGUUAAAUAGUACGUGAAAUUGUUGAAAGGGAAACGAUUGAAGUCAGUCGUACCGGCGGGAAAUCAGCUUCUCGAGUGGGGGUUCGCGGGUGCGUGAGAGCUUCGGCCUUCGUCGCUUGGGAUACCUUUUGCUUCUGGAGCGUACUUUUCCGUGUGGUAGGUCAACAUCGGUUUCGAUUGCCAUAAAAUGACCGGAGGAAUGUGGCUUCGAUCUUGUAUUGGAGUGUUAUAGCCUCUGGUAGAUGUGGUGGUUGGGAUCGAGGAUUGCAACGAAUACCCUUUGGGCUAUCCGCCUGACCUCUGAAAGUCGCUUGGGUACCGAAAGCUUGCUUACGGUCAUUCAAGUUGGCGGUCAAAAGGUUAGAACGUGAUUAAAUUCGUUAAGGAUGUUGACGUAAUGGCUUUAAACGACCCGUCUUGAAACACGGACCAAGGAGUCUAACAUAUAUGCGAGUGUUCGGGUGGUCAAACCCUUACGCGUAAUGAAAGUAAUUUAGGUGGGAUCGCUUUUUUGGCGAGCACCAUUGACC